GGGUAUAGCGAAUAUAGCCCAGAUACCGCUGACCGAAUGCUUGAACGCUCGGAGGCCACCGUAAUUGAUAUCCAUCGAGCAUCAUGGUAGUGAGCAAGGGAUGGGUCUUAACCCGGAUCAAGUGAAGAUGCAGGCAUGGGGAUGAAUAGAGCAUUGUUUAGAGGUGAUAAUGGAGUUGCCAAGGUGCCCAGAGUAGAUGAUGGAUAAGCUGGGACAUUAGUGGAGCUUGGAUGGGGCCGACGGAGCCUUGUCCAGUGGUGCUCAACGGAGGAAGUUGGGCGGUGGUGCCUCAGCGGAGGAAGUUGGGCGGUGGUGUCCAGCGGAGGAAGUUGAGCUGUGAUGCUCAGCGGAGUCGUGGCCAGAGGUUGUGAGGUUCUGGGACGUCGAUAGCUAGCGGUGGAGUUCAGCGGUGUACAAUAGCUGGUCAGCGGAGCUUGUGGGUCAAGUGAGUACGAAGCCUUGGUGCUCACUCGGAGCUCUUGGCUGUGGCCCUAGUUGGCGGAGGGUGGUGGAGACCUGGACCGGACUGCAACCCGUUUGAUGGUAGUUCUGCGGUGUACAGUCGGCGGUGCACAGUAUGGCGGUGCUUGCUUGGCAGAGGCUAAGCAAUGAGCCGAGAUGUCUACUGGGUGCCUAGAGCAUACUUUUGGGGUCAGCGGUGUACAGUCCGGCGGUGUAUAGUUAUGCGGAGCGGAGCUCAUUGAUGGAGUGGAGCAUGGUCAGCGGGGGAUGCUGGAGCGUCGGAACUUUGCUAGCGGGAGAAGCGCCGCUGAUGGUGCUUAGCGGAGAUAAUCCGGCGGAGCGGAGCAUUUGGCCGGUGAGUUGGGCGGUGGUUCCGCUUGGUUCCCAGCUGAGGGAGUUGGGCGGUGUAGCCUAACAGUGGUUGCUUGACGGAGAUAGUCCAGCUGUGUUGCCUGGCGGAGGCUGCAGGCGAAAGUGGCUAAGUGGCUGGAGGAGGUUUUGCCGCUGGUGUCUCCUAGCGGUGUUGUAGCUAGCUGACCUGGUGCUCAGCGGAGGUUUUGGAGCUGUUGAGUUCAACGUUGACCAUGCACCCAAGUGUUGACUUGGAGUGGAUUGUUGACUCGGUGCCCAGCGACGUUUUCCAUGGGAGGACCGAAGCUAGGAGGGCGGAGCUGCAGUUGGAGGGUGCCCAGUGGUGCAGCCCAAUCAGCGGUGUAGCAGUGGCGAAGCGGAGGAGUUAAGCGGAGGACCGGUUCGGCGGAACACCAGUUUGGCGGAGCACCGGUUCGACGGAUCACCAGUUCGGCGGGGAUGCAAGUUGGGUGGAGUUGCAGCUUCGAGUGUGGCGGAGCGGAGGUCUGCCUGAGCCAGCGGAGGAUGUGGCUGGAGGAGGGAGCUGCAGCGGAGGAAGGAGACAACG
This 1381-nucleotide long non-coding RNA is filed under the name Rosa chinensis. RNAcentral's name for it is "sRNA RchiOBHm_Chr7g0231811". The record is from RNAcentral. Lineage: Eukaryota; Viridiplantae; Streptophyta; Magnoliopsida; Rosales; Rosaceae.